Molecule: non-coding RNA, 415 nt
Organism: Cinara cedri
Lineage: Eukaryota; Metazoa; Arthropoda; Insecta; Hemiptera; Aphididae
Source: the annotation of a GenBank genome assembly
CGACGAUAAUACCAAUUAUAAGUAUAGCAUUUCAUUUAUUUGAAUUUCAUCGUCACGUUUAGUUGUCGUUCCUACAAUUUCAACAGUCAGUCUUGAUUUUCAUACAGCCCCAACAGGUAAAGUUUCUGUUUUUUUUUUUUUUUAAAUUUCUUUAGAAAAAUCAAUAUAAAAGUCACCAACAACUAUUUUGAAUUUUUAAAUAACUAUUAUUACGCACUCUUGGUCGUAUCUCAUAAGUAACCUAUUGUGUUUGGCGUAAUUAUGUAUAAUUAUUAAUUAAAAACUAUUACUAACAGUCCAUUAUUUAUUUGUUUAGCAUUGAUCAUAAAUAAUAUGAUAAGACGUCCGUCGUCGGCUAGAUGGUAUGCGCAAUAUCCGUCGUUUGUACCGUUGUCUUUAAUAUUUGUAAAAAAUA